UACGAAGGGGGUUAGCGUUGCUCGGAAUCACUGGGCGUAAAGGGUGCGUAGGCGGGUCUUUAAGUCAGGGGUGAAAUCCUGGAGCUCAACUCCAGAACUGCCUUUGAUACUGAGGAUCUUGAGUUCGGGAGAGGUGAGUGGAACUGCGAGUGUAGAGGUGAAAUUCGUAGAUAUUCGCAAGAACACCAGUGGCGAAGGCGGCUCACUGGCCCGAUACUGACGCUGAGGCACGAAAGCGUGGGGAGCAAACAGG
This 253-nucleotide ribosomal RNA is filed under the name uncultured bacterium. RNAcentral describes it as "partial 16S ribosomal RNA". It matches the Rfam family "Bacterial small subunit ribosomal RNA", at positions 524 to 776 of the family's 1533-position model. The record is from RNAcentral.